This 639-nucleotide ribosomal RNA is filed under the name uncultured bacterium. Its description in RNAcentral is "bacterial SSU rRNA". It matches the Rfam family "Bacterial small subunit ribosomal RNA", at positions 559 to 1198 of the family's 1533-position model. The record is from RNAcentral.
CGUAAAGCGCGCGUAGGUGGUUUAUUAAGUUGGAUGUGAAAUCCCCGGGCUCAACCUGGGAACUGCAUCCAAAACUGAUUCACUAGAGUACGAUAGAGGGAGGUAGAAUUCACAGUGUAGCGGUGGAAUGCGUAGAUAUUGUGAAGAAUACCAAUGGCGAAGGCAGCCUCCUGGAUCUGUACUGACACUGAGGUGCGAAAGCGUGGGUAGCGAACAGGAUUAGAUACCCUGGUAGUCCACGCCGUAAACGAUGUCAACUAGCUGUUGGGGAACUAUGUUCUUCAGUGGGGGCAUCUAACGUAGUAAGUUGACCGCCUGGGGAGUACGGCCGCAAGGCUAAAACUCAAAUGAAUUGACGGGGACCCGCACAAGCGGUGGAGCAUGUGGUUUAAUUCGAUGCAACGCGAAAAACCUUACCUAUACUUGACAUACUUGGAAUGGUUUGUAAUGAAGCAGUGCCUUCGGGAGCCAAGAUACAGGUGCUGCAUGGCUGUCGUCAGCUCGUGUCGUGAGAUGUUCCGUUAAGUCGGAUAACGAGCGCAACCCUUACCCUUAUUUGCCAGCGAUUCGGUCGGGAACUAUAAGGGGACUGCCGGUGAUAAACCGGAGGAAGGUGAGGACGACGUCAAGUCAUCAUGG